CAACACAACAAACAUACAAAUGUAUAUAGUAGUCUGGCAUGUCUCGGAGAUGGACAUCUGGUCAUCCUUUUUGUGGACCCCCUCACCCCUCGGCCUACUACACUUGUACUCGGGAGACAACAAUGAGGGACAGAUUGUGUGGGUUUCUCCUGUCUAGGACAAGUACUUCAGCAGACCCCGUAAAUGCAUCACUGGAACUGUCACCGUGGUCAGAGUGCAGAACAGAAUUUCAAGGUUAAAUCACCAUGGAUAGAAGUGUUAACAUAGUAAAGAUUCUGAUAGAGAAGGCAUCACAAGCUUCAAUU
This is a long non-coding RNA of Ylistrum balloti, 305 nucleotides long. RefSeq lists it as uncharacterized. The transcript is spliced from 3 exons. Lineage: Eukaryota; Metazoa; Mollusca; Bivalvia; Pectinida; Pectinidae. The record is from RefSeq and is a predicted model, not a curated record.